AUGAUGGCAAGGCACAUGUAUUUCCAAAGCAAUGUUCCCCAACUUGAUUGCCCAUCAUAUUUCAUUGGCCAUAGCUUUGGGGCAACUUUUAACAGCUUCCAACAAAUCAAUCAUCCAAGGAUGAAGAUGUACCGCAUUUCAAGAUAUUUAAGAAAGUACCAACAGUGUCCAUGCAUAACUUUCCAGAAGAGUUCCAAAAAUGCUUUGAGCAAUUUCUCAGCAUCUUGGGAAUCAGCAAAAAUCUACUCUGCAGGCAACAGUGCUGCUUUGGAAUUAGACAGUCUGAUGUGCUACAAUAACCAGCACCUAUUAACUGUUUACCAUGAACCAACUCUAUCAGGCAAUGUGUGUGUGUGUGUAUUCUCACUGAACUCUCCCAACAAUUAUAUGAAAACAACAACAACAAUAGUUGUUUUUGGCAUUUGCUGAGUGCCAACGAUGGGUCAGGCACUGCGUUAAGGAUUAUUUUGUUUUAACCCCAUUUUACAGACAAAAAAAACAAACCCUGAUGUUUACAGAAAAGCAAAGCACUUUGCUAAGAUCACAAAGCCAGUAAGAGAGGAACUAAGAUUUGCAUGCAAAUGUAUCUGACUUGCUCAUAAUUACUCUGAUUUAUGCUUGUGGUAAGCUAGGCUCUUAACUACUGUGAUGUGACUGUUAGAUUUUUAUAAAAAAAAAAAAAAUAUAUAUAUAUAUAUAUAUCCUGAUUUAUACUUCUUUUUAAUCAAAACUACCUAGUUCAGUGUUCAUUAAAUGCUAGUAGAAUGAAUAAACUUCUAUCAGUGACAGUGGUCCAAUCAAGGCAAAUAAGAAUAACUAGCAAAAGUGAUACAUGAUGGUUCAGCUCAUCUAAUUCCCAAACUACAGCCAUGUUCCCUGUUCAUAGGAGAGAGCAGCGGGCAUCAGAGGCCCACUUUGUGAUCUCCUUGCUAUUUCAGUCCGGGUAAGCCCCUGCAGGGCCCCGAGUCUCAGUCACUCCAGCCAGACAUCAGGAAUGGGUACAUUCACCUCCCUUCCCCAGCCUUCCCCAUGAAUAUUUAUAAAGGGCCCUGGAAUCCUGGUAUCCCAUAAAAAUGCAAAGUACGAUUAUUAUUAAUGAUACAGUUAGCAAGAAGGACAUUUGUUAUUUCUACUCAAUUGGUUUCCCCCGGGAGCAGAAACAAUUUUUUUUGACAUAGUAUUAAUGUGCCGUCUUUGCAACUUUGAUCAUCUGUCAUUUUCUUUUGGACAAAGUUGAGCCAGUGUCUCAGGCAGCACCCUGCCUUCCCCUUUGCAAUAUGGGCACUAGCUGAGCCCAAGUUGCUUCAUGGUUUAGAUGAAACUAUGGAUCUUUAUUUGAUUUCUGGUAUCAGGAAACAAUUUAUUAGGAUCAAGGCAGUUAGACUACGCGACUUCCUUUCUUGCCGAGGUAGUCGCUAGUCGCACAGGCAGCCUUGGCUCAUAAAUCUAGUUUUAUUUCCCCAUCUAUUCACCUGGAACUAAGUGAUUUUUUUAAGGCAAAGGGGAGAACACAUUUCCUUAUGUAAGCACUCUUCCUCCAGCUCGUAAUCACCAUUGUUUCUCAGACAAACUAGUGAGCAGCUGAAGCAGGGAGCCAUUUCCAUUUUCGUGCAUCACACUUGUAUUUUCAGAGUUUACAGAAAAAUACUGCAACCAAUUUGGGAUUUCCCUAUAAUGAACCACUUCCUCUAAAUAAACCAGAAUUGAUUCCAACGUGAAUUUCAGAGACGAAAGGGCUUUCUGAAAACAUCCAUUUUCAUAUGCCCUUCAGAAACUACCUUGCCUUUCUUUCUCCUCCCAUCCCCCGCUCCCACCCUCCCUCAAGCCCCCCACCCCGCCUUCCCCUCCUUCUUAAGAAGACUUUCCCAGGUCCCUCUUGGCUGUGGUUGAACGACGUUGGCUCAUGUCCAUGCUGCAACAAAGACCUGGCAUUCCAGCUGUCUGCGUCUAAUCUCCAGUGUCAGCUCUCGUUAAUGUGUGAGCGUGAAAUCAGAGGGGGCAGAGCUGCACGGAAUAUUAAAACCAUGAUCAGAAUUCCACUGAAAUGCUGAGAGUCUGCAAGCACCAUUAGAGGAGGCUGUCAAAUCACCGCUUCGCAUUAAAUAAAAGAAAAGAUUUCUAUCAGAGGAAAGUACAAUCAGUGAAUCGCUGAGCUAAAUUAGCAUUUUUUCAAUUGGAGAUCGAAGUUGAUUUAUUGUUCUACACGACAUUAAUGUAACUAUGUGCUUGACCUGCUAAGGCAGCUAAUUUUUCAUUUAAAUGGUUUCUUUCCUUCCCGGUGCAAAGGCUGCAAUCAUAUUUCAACUUUGCAGAGUGAUCAGAAAAGUCGUGGAAUGCUGCAGAAAUGUCUUAGGGCGGCCUUCCUUCCCCUCCCCUCUCCUUCCUUUCCUUUUUCCAACUCCAGCGCCUUCCUCCUCCCCUCCCCUUCCCCCCUAACCUCAUGGCUGGUGGUCAAGGUCACAGAGGAAGAGUAAUCUCAAAGCCACCGACUUCAAAGCCUCCAUCAAAGAAGCCCCUACGUAGCCAUUGAAUUAAAAGGGAAUGGGGGAGGGUGGGGUCCGGGCACUAGAUGUUCCUACCAGCAAGAAAGGACCCUUUAACUGCCCUGCUGGUAUGGCCAAAUCUGGGGCGUCCUGGGUCCAGUUUUCUCCUGCAGGCCUCUCAGUGUGUGUCUCUUCUCAUCCUCCCCCACCCCCUCUCCUCCGCACACACAUCGCCUGAAGAUAAUAUACAUUUCCAAUUAGCAGAGCACAUUCUAGUCAUGUUCUCUUUUACUGCCCUAACUAUCUUCCUUUUGCUAAAAAGCUGGGCUGUCAUUAAUGAAAUCCUGCAGUUCUGUUAAUCCGAGAUACAAUGCUCCUUUCUCUCUCAGGCGCUCCUUAACAUAAAAACUACAGUUACUCAAGCUCCCCUCUUCUGUUUGGAGUCCUCGUUGUUUGUCUUUCGUUGCAUACCUGAUGUAGCACAGUAGCAGUGGAAGUUCCCGGACAUAGAAGGAGAGAAUGCAAUUAUAUUUGUUUCUCAAUGUCCUUGUUUGCAAAGGCAGCUGGCAUUUUCUGUUUUUCUUUUUCUUUAAGCACAUUGAUUUUUAAGCUCUGGAAAUUUGGGAAUAUGUCUUAGAGUAUUCCGGGGGCCUUUGCAUGUAGCAAAUUUGUUGGAUUUAAAACUAUUAUAGUUGGAAGCCCUGGAAGAACCCUGAUAAAUUAGAAUUCAGCAUUUAUCU
RNAcentral lists this long non-coding RNA (3223 nucleotides) under Callithrix jacchus (white-tufted-ear marmoset). Its description in RNAcentral is "lncRNA (ENSCJAG00000074691.1)". The record is from RNAcentral. Lineage: Eukaryota; Metazoa; Chordata; Mammalia; Primates; Cebidae.